GACGAACGCUGGCGGCGUGCUUAACACACGCAAGUCGAACGGAAAGGCCCUGCUUUUGUGGGGUGCUCGAGUGGCGAACGGGUGAGUAACACGUGAGUAACCUGCCCUUGACUUUGGGAUAACUUCAGGAAACUGGGGCUAAUACCGGAUAGGAGCUCCUGCUGCAUGGUGGGGGUUGGAAAGUUUCGGCGGUUGGGGAUGGACUCGCGGCUUAUCAGCUUGUUGGUGGGGUAGUGGCUUACCAAGGCUUUGACGGGUAGCCGGCCUGAGAGGGUGACCGGCCACAUUGGGACUGAGAUACGGCCCAGACUCCUACGGGAGGCAGCAGUGGGGAAUAUUGCACAAUGGGCGGAAGCCUGAUGCAGCAACGCCGCGUGCGGGAUGACGGCCUUCGGGUUGUAAACCGCUUUCGCCUGUGACGAAGCGUGAGUGACGGUAAUGGGUAAAGAAGCAACGGCUAACUACGUG
This 468-nucleotide ribosomal RNA is filed under the name uncultured bacterium. RNAcentral's name for it is "partial 16S ribosomal RNA". It matches the Rfam family "Bacterial small subunit ribosomal RNA", at positions 28 to 507 of the family's 1533-position model. The record is from RNAcentral.